GAAUUAAAAAAAAAAGUGGUUCGAGGCAUCGUGGAAAACUUGUCUUUUGGGCUGUCUUUUUCCAGACGCCCAUAUCCAAAUUCCCAGUUAGUGCUCUAUAAAUUAAUUUCCUAAAUCUCGCCGUUCUUAUCCUUGUGCAUUUACUUGUCCAAAUU
RNAcentral lists this non-coding RNA (155 nucleotides) under Thraustochytrium sp. LLF1b. Lineage: Eukaryota; Bigyra; Thraustochytrida; Thraustochytriidae. The record is from RNAcentral.